GACGAACGCUGGCGGCGUGCUUAACACAUGCAAGUCGAACGGUGAAGCGCCUUCCUUUUUGGUUGGUGUGGAUGAGUGGCGAACGGGUGAGUAACACGUGAGUAACCUGCCCCCUUCUUCUGGAUAACCGCAUGAAAGUUUGGCUAAUACGGGAUAUUCUGGGUCUGUCGCAUGAUGGGUCUGGGAAAGAUUUUGUUUCGGUGGGGGAUGGUCUCGCGGCCUAUCAGCUUGUUGGUGGGGUGAUGGCCUACCAAGGCGGUGACGGGUAGCCGGCCUGGGAGGGUGGACGGUCACACAGGGACUGAGACACGGCGAAGACUCCUACGGGAGGCAGAAGGGGGGAAUAGUGAACAAUGGGGGAAAGCCUGAUGCAGCGAAGCGGCGUGAGGGAUGGAGGCCUGCGGGUUGUGAACCUCUUUCGCCAGUGAAGCAGGGCUGCCUAGUUUGUGGGUGGGUUGACGGUAGCUGGAUAAGAAGCGCCGGCUAACUACGUG
RNAcentral lists this ribosomal RNA (494 nucleotides) under uncultured bacterium. RNAcentral's name for it is "partial 16S ribosomal RNA". It matches the Rfam family "Bacterial small subunit ribosomal RNA", at positions 28 to 507 of the family's 1533-position model. The record is from RNAcentral.